RNAcentral lists this ribosomal RNA (428 nucleotides) under uncultured bacterium. Its description in RNAcentral is "partial 16S ribosomal RNA". It matches the Rfam family "Bacterial small subunit ribosomal RNA", at positions 355 to 776 of the family's 1533-position model. RNAcentral also lists the same sequence under 2 other names. The record is from RNAcentral.
UCGAGAAUUUUUCACAAUGGGCGCAAGCCUGAUGGAGCGACGCCGCGUGGGGGAUGAAUGGCUUCGGCCCGUAAACCCCUGUCAUUCGCGAUCAAACGUUGGUAUUUAAAAGAUGCCAGCCUGAUAGUAGCGGAAGAGGAAGGGACGGCUAACUCUGUGCCAGCAGCCGCGGUAAUACAGAGGUCCCGAGCGUUGUUCGGAUUCACUGGGCGUAAAGGGUGCGUAGGUGGUGAGGUAAGUCGGAUGUGAAAGCUCGGAGCUCAACUCCGAAAUGGCAUUGGAAACUACCUUGCUUGAGGAUUGGAAGGGGGACUGGAAUGCUUGGUGUAGCAGUGAAAUGCGUAGAUAUCAAGCGGAACACCAGUGGCGAAGGCGAGUCCCUGGACAACACCUGACACUGAGGCACGAAAGCUAGGGGAGCAAACAGG